Molecule: long non-coding RNA, 666 nt
Filed under: Anas platyrhynchos platyrhynchos (common mallard)
Lineage: Eukaryota; Metazoa; Chordata; Aves; Anseriformes; Anatidae
Description: lncRNA (ENSAPLG00000016609.1)
Source: RNAcentral
AACAAAGGAGACCUUGGGCAACAGGAUCAGAGCAGUCCCCAUAGCCUACAAAGCUUCUGGAGCAGGACUCCACAUCUGCUCCCCUGGCCAGGAUCCAGACUCAGUGCAAGCCAGACAAAGAUUUCAAUUACUGAAGGAGCAGCUGUUGCUCCAGAAGACAGGGGUGAAGCCAAUCCCUUCUCCACAUGCUACUCAAACUGCACAAAAAGCUGGCCAGCGGGCCAGAGCACAGCUGUAUGGUGUAACUUAGCUUUUCAAGGAAAGGACACCAGUUUAAUUAAGGUCUGUGCUUGCAACAGAGGGCUGAACAGUGCCCAGUUCUCCUCUUCUCUGGAUCAACAGCAGCAGCACGAGCUUCUCAUGUGUGCACGUACCUCGCCUCUAGCAGGGACUGGUCUCCGUUUCACUGCAUCCCCUUCUGGCUCUGCUAACACUAUUCUCAGUUGCCGACCUGUUGUUAUGGGCACAGCUUGGCUUGUGUGGCUGCUUCAGCUGAAGACUCUCCAGGGACUGUUUGACCUCAGCAUGGAAUAUAAGGCUACACAGCGAGUUUUGGAAAUCAGGACUGCUUCAUUUACUGCUUUGGAAAUUAGUCCCUUAGAAGUCGAACCAACAUCCACUAAAAUUCAUGGACUACCUCCAAGGGACUGCAGCAGAUUUAGGUGA